GACGAACGCUGGCGGCGUGCUUAACACAUGCAAGUCGAACGGAAAGGCCCUGCUUUUGUGGGGUGCUCGAGUGGCGAACGGGUGAGUAACACGUGAGUAACCUGCCCUUGACUUUGGGAUAACUUCAGGAAACUGGGGCUAAUACCGGAUAGGAGCUACUGCUGCAUGGUGGGGGUUGGAAAGUUUCGGCGGUUGGGGAUGGAAUCGCGGCUUAUCAGCUUGUUGGUGGGGUAGUGGCUUACCAAGGCUUUGACGGGUAGCCGGCCUGAGAGGGGGACCGGCCACAUGGGGACUGAGGGACGGCCCAGACUCCUACGGGAGGCAGCAGUGGGGAAUAUUGCACAAUGGGCGGAAGCCUGAUGCAGCAACGCCGCGUGCGGGAUGACGGCCUUCGCGUUGUAAACCGCUUUCGCCGGUGACGAAGCGUGAGUGACGGUAAUGGGUAAAGAAGCACCGGCUAACUACGUG
Molecule: ribosomal RNA, 468 nt
Filed under: uncultured bacterium
Lineage: Bacteria
Description: partial 16S ribosomal RNA
Rfam family: Bacterial small subunit ribosomal RNA
Source: RNAcentral